GACGAACGCUGGCGGCGUGCUUAACACAUGCAAGUCGAGCGGUAAGGCCCUUCGGGUACGACGAGCGGCGAACGGGUGAGUAACACGUGGGUGACCUGCCUCUAGCUCUGGGAUAAGCCUGGGAAACUGGGUCGUAAUACCGGAUAUGACUCCACGGCGCAUGUUGUGGGGUGGAAAGCCUUGUGCGGCUAGAGAUGGGCCCGCGGCCUAUCAGCUUGUUGGUGGGGUGAUGGCCUACCAAGGCGACGACGGGUAGCCGGCCUGAGAGGGCGACCGGCCACACUGGGACUGAGACACGGCCCAGACUCCUACGGGAGGCAGCAGUGGGGAAUCUUGCGCAAUGGGCGAAAGCCUGACGCAGCGACGCCGCGUGAGGGAUGGCGCCU
This 386-nucleotide ribosomal RNA is filed under the name uncultured bacterium. RNAcentral's name for it is "bacterial SSU rRNA". It matches the Rfam family "Bacterial small subunit ribosomal RNA", at positions 28 to 416 of the family's 1533-position model. The record is from RNAcentral.